This 312-nucleotide unclassified non-coding RNA is filed under the name Melitaea cinxia (Glanville fritillary). RNAcentral describes it as "misc RNA ENSMCXG00005016792.1". The record is from RNAcentral. Lineage: Eukaryota; Metazoa; Arthropoda; Insecta; Lepidoptera; Nymphalidae.
GGGUAAAAUCGAAGGUAUAGUCGUUUGUAAGCCGAACGACAGAGACUUAUUGCGGAAUUUUGAGUCAGCGCUGAGGUUUGGUAAGCCGAUUCUUCUGGAAAAUGUCGGACAAGAAUUGGAUCCAGCGCUAGAUCCUGUAUUAAAGCGGCAAUAUUUCCGUCAAGCGGGUCAGUUGGUUUUAAAACUCGGCGACUCGUUGAUACCGUACACGGCCGGCUUCCGCCUCUACAUAACCACUAAGAUACCGAAUCCUAAAUACACUCCCGAGGUCUCAGUUAAAGUGCAGAUUGUAAACUUUGCACUUGUACCGAG